UACGUAGGGUGCAAGCGUUAAUCGGAAUUACUGGGCGUAAAGCGUGCGCAGGUGGUGAUGUAAGACAGGUGUGAAAUCCCCGGGCUUAACCUGGGAACUGCAUUUGUGACUGCAUCGCUGGAGUGCGGCAGAGGGGGAUGGAAUUCCGCGUGUAGCAGUGAAAUGCGUAGAGAUCGGGAGGAACACCAGUGGCGAAGGCGGCCGGCUGGGGGUGACCUGACGCUGAGGCGCGAAAGCGUGGGGAGCGAACCGG
Molecule: ribosomal RNA, 253 nt
Filed under: uncultured bacterium
Lineage: Bacteria
Description: partial 16S ribosomal RNA
Rfam family: Bacterial small subunit ribosomal RNA
Source: RNAcentral